AGCGGGAUGAGCUCAAAUUUGUAAUCUGGUGGACUCAGUUCAUCCGAGUUGUAAUCUAUAGAAAAGUUUUCCGCGCCGGACCGUGUCUAAGUCCCUUGGAACAGGGUGUCAGAGAGGGUGAGAAUCCCGUGCUUGAUACGACCACCGGUGCUAUGUGAUACUUUUUCAACGAGUCGAGUUGUUUGGGAAUGCAGCUCAAAAUGGGUGGUAAAUUCCAUCUAAAGCUAAAUAUUGGCGAGAGACCGAUAGCGAACAAGUACCGUGAGGGAAAGAUGAAAAGCACUUUGGAAAGAGAGUUAAACAGUACGUGAAAUUGUUAAAAGGGAAACGAUUGAAGUCAGUCGUGCUCUCUGGGACUCAGCCGGUUCUUCCGGUGUAUUUCCCAGUGAGCGGGUCAACAUCAGUUUAGAUCGCUGGAUAAGGUCAUUAGGAAUGUGGCUCCCUCGGGAGUGUUAUAGCCUAGUGUCGCAUACUGUGGUUUAGACUGAGGAACGCAGCUCGCCUUUAUGGCCGGGGUUCGCCCACGUCCGAGCUUAGGAUGUUGACAUAAUGGCUUUAAACGACCCGUCUUG
Molecule: ribosomal RNA, 572 nt
Filed under: Holtermanniella festucosa
Lineage: Eukaryota; Fungi; Basidiomycota; Tremellomycetes; Holtermanniales
Description: eukaryotic LSU rRNA
Rfam family: Eukaryotic large subunit ribosomal RNA
Source: RNAcentral